CGUGCUCCAGCCGCUAAACCCCCAAUUCUUAAAGGUGACC
This 40-nucleotide ribosomal RNA is filed under the name Pyricularia grisea. Its description in RNAcentral is "partial 26S ribosomal RNA". The record is from RNAcentral. Lineage: Eukaryota; Fungi; Ascomycota; Sordariomycetes; Magnaporthales; Pyriculariaceae.